This 469-nucleotide ribosomal RNA is filed under the name uncultured bacterium. RNAcentral describes it as "partial 16S ribosomal RNA". It matches the Rfam family "Bacterial small subunit ribosomal RNA", at positions 28 to 507 of the family's 1533-position model. The record is from RNAcentral.
GAUGAACGCUGGCGGCGCGCCUAACACAUGCAAGUCGAACGGUUAAAGCACCUUUUAGGUGUGUAUAAAGUGGCGAACGGCUGAGUAACACGUGGGCAACCUGCCCUCCUCUUGGGGAUAGCCUCGGGAAACCGAGGAUAAUACCCGAUACUUCAAUGUGGCCGCAUGACGACAUUGAGAAAGCUUUUGCGGAGAAGGAUGGGCCCGCGGCCUGUUAGCUUGUUGGUGGGGUAGAGGCCUACCAAGGCAAUGAUGGGUAGCUGGGUUGAGAGACCGACCAGCCAGAUUGGGACUGAGACACGGCCCAGACUCCUACGGGAGGCAGCAGUGGGGAAUCUUGCACAAUGGGCGAAAGCCUGAUGCAGCGACGCCGCGUGCGGGACGAAGGCCUUCGGGUUGUAAACCGCUUUCAGCAGGGACGAGGCGAUAAGUGACGAUACCUGCAGAAGAAGCCCCGGCUAACUACGUG